GGACUACACGGGUAUCUAAUCCCGUUCGCUCCCCUAGCUUUCGCACCUCAGCGUCAGUUACGCGCCAGGACACUGCCUUCGCCUUCGGUGUUCCUCCGGAUCUCUACGCAUUUCACCACUCCACCCGGAAUUCCGUGUCCCUCUCGCGUCCUCAAGUCGGAGCGUCUUUCGAACACUCGGGUAGUUAAGCCACCCGCUGUCACCCGAAACGCCUCCGACCGCCUGCAUGCCCUUUACGCCCAGUAACUCCGGACAACGCUCGCCCCCUACGUAUUACCGCGGCUGCUGGCAC
RNAcentral lists this ribosomal RNA (292 nucleotides) under uncultured bacterium. RNAcentral's name for it is "partial 16S ribosomal RNA". The record is from RNAcentral.